RNAcentral lists this ribosomal RNA (449 nucleotides) under uncultured bacterium. RNAcentral's name for it is "partial 16S ribosomal RNA". It matches the Rfam family "Bacterial small subunit ribosomal RNA", at positions 29 to 523 of the family's 1533-position model. The record is from RNAcentral.
AACGAACGCUGGCGGCAUGCCUAACACAUGCAAGUCGAACGAGAUCUUCGGGUCUAGUGGCGCACGGGUGCGUAACGCGUGGGAAUCUGCCCUUUGGUUCGGAAUAACAGUUGGAAACGACUGCUAAUACCGGAUGAUGACGAAAGUCCAAAGAUUUAUCGCCAGAGGAUGAGCCCGCGUAGGAUUAGCUAGUUGGUGUGGUAAAGGCGCACCAAGGCGACGAUCCUUAGCUGGUCUGAGAGGAUGAUCAGCCACACUGGGACUGAGACACGGCCCAGCCUGCUACGGGAGGCAGCAGUGGGGAAUAUUGGACAAUGGGCGAAAGCCUGAUCCAGCAAUGCCGCGUGAGUGAUGAAGGCCUUAGGGUUGUAAAGCUCUUGUACCCGGGAUGAUAAUGACAGUACCGGGAGAAUAAGCUCCGGCUAACUCCGUGCCAGCCGCCGCAGUAA